This 704-nucleotide ribosomal RNA is filed under the name Staphylococcus pseudintermedius. RNAcentral describes it as "partial 23S ribosomal RNA". It matches the Rfam family "Bacterial large subunit ribosomal RNA", at positions 744 to 1452 of the family's 2925-position model. Lineage: Bacteria; Bacillati; Bacillota; Bacilli; Caryophanales; Staphylococcaceae. The record is from RNAcentral.
GUUGAAGUUCAGGUAACACUGAAUGGAGGACCGAACCGACUUACGUUGAAAAGUGAGCGGAUGAACUGAGGGUAGCGGAGAAAUUCCAAUCGAACUUGGAGAUAGCUGGUUCUCUCCGAAAUAGCUUUAGGGCUAGCCUCAAGUGAUGAUUAUUGGAGGUAGAGCACUGUUUGGACGAGGGGCCCCUCUCGGGUUACCGAAUUCAGACAAACUCCGAAUGCCAAAUAAUUUAACUUGGGAGUCAGAAUGUGGGUGAUAAGGUCCAUAUUCGAAAGGGAAACAGCCCAGACCACCAGCUAAGGUCCCAAAAUAUAUGUUAAGUGGAAAAGGAUGUGGCGUUGCCCAGACAACUAGGAUGUUGGCUUAGAAGCAGCCAUCAUUUAAAGAGUGCGUAAUAGCUCACUAGUCGAGUGACACUGCGCCGAAAAUGUACCGGGGCUAAACAUAUUACCGAAGCUGUGGAUUGUCCUUUGGACAAUGGUAGGAGAGCGUUCUAAGGGCGUUGAAGCAUGAUCGCAAGGACAUGUGGAGCGCUUAGAAGUGAGAAUGCCGGUGUGAGUAGCGAAAGACGGGUGAGAAUCCCGUCCACCGAUUGACUAAGGUUUCCAGAGGAAGGCUCGUCCGCUCUGGGUUAGUCGGGUCCUAAGCUGAGGCCGACAGGCGUAGGCGAUGGAUAACAGGUUGAUAUUCCUGUACCACCAUUA